GGCCGUGUGGCCCAAUGGCAAGGCGCUUGACUACGACUUCGAUGUAAUCAAGAGAUUCCAGGUUCGACCCCUGGCACGGUCA
This 82-nucleotide transfer RNA is filed under the name Karstenula rhodostoma CBS 690.94. It matches the Rfam family "tRNA". Rfam says of the family: Transfer RNA (tRNA) molecules are approximately 80 nucleotides in length. Their secondary structure includes four short double-helical elements and three loops (D, anti-codon, and T loops). Lineage: Eukaryota; Fungi; Ascomycota; Dothideomycetes; Pleosporales; Didymosphaeriaceae. The record is from Rfam by way of RNAcentral.